RNAcentral lists this small nuclear RNA (104 nucleotides) under Marchantia polymorpha subsp. ruderalis. Lineage: Eukaryota; Viridiplantae; Streptophyta; Marchantiopsida; Marchantiales; Marchantiaceae. The record is from RNAcentral.
UUUCCCUUUAGGAACAUCAGAUAAAAUUUAAAUCAUACAAAGAAGAUUAGCAUGGCCCUUUGCGCAAGGAUGACACUCACAAAAAUGGAAGCGACUAGUUAUGA